Molecule: ribosomal RNA, 640 nt
Filed under: uncultured bacterium
Lineage: Bacteria
Description: bacterial SSU rRNA
Rfam family: Bacterial small subunit ribosomal RNA
Source: RNAcentral
CGAGCGCAGGUGGUUUAAUAAGUCUGAUGUAAAAGGCAGUGGCUCAACCAUUGUGUGCAUUGGAAACUGUUAGACUUGAGUGCAGUAGAGGAGAGUGGAAUUCCAUGUGUAGCGGUGAAAUGCGUAGAUAUAUGGAGGAACACCGGUGGCGAAAGCGGCUCUCUGGACUGUCACUGACACUGAGGCUCGAAAGCGUGGGUAGCAAACAGGAUUAGAUACCCUGGUAGUCCACGCCGUAAACGAUGAGUGCUAGUUGUUUGGGGCUAUCCAGCCCUAAGUGACGCAGCAAACGCAUUAAGCACUCCGCCUGGGGAGUACGACUGCAAGGUUGAAACUCAAAGGAAUUGACGGGGGCCCGCACAAGCGGUGGAGCAUGUGGUUUAAUUCGAAGCAACGCGAAGAACCUUACCAGGUCUUGACAUACUCGUGCUAUUCCUAGAGAUAGGAAGUUCCUUCGGGACACGGGAUACAGGUGGUGCAUGGUUGUCGUCAGCUCGUGUCGUGAGAUGUUGGGUUAAGUCCCGCAACGAGCGCAACCCUUAUUGUUAGUUGCCAUCAUUAAGUUGGGCACUCUAGCGAGACUGCCGGUAAUAAACCGGAGGAAGGUGGGGAUGACGUCAAAUCAUCAUGCCCCUUAUGA